This 774-nucleotide ribosomal RNA is filed under the name Triticum aestivum (bread wheat). Its description in RNAcentral is "partial small subunit ribosomal RNA". The record is from RNAcentral. Lineage: Eukaryota; Viridiplantae; Streptophyta; Magnoliopsida; Poales; Poaceae.
AUGGAGCAAAUAUACCGAGAAGUUUUUGAGAAGGUCUCUAGUUCUAUUGUGAUCGUUCGGCAGGUUCCAAGUGGUCAAUAUUGUAUUGGUUCUGUACUUUCCAGUGCACCAGACCCCAGUACAACAGUGAUUGUGACAUCCUCACCUUUAGCUGGGCAAAAGGAUAGAGUCUUCGUUCGUUUCAAUGACAAUACUGAAGUGGAAGCAAAGAGAUUAGCGUCUGAAGAUCGAUUCACUUUGCUUGAAGUUGUCCACUACAGAGCCAAUUGUAGUGUUGAAUUCAGCGAAAUAGAUGUUAAUGAACCCUCAGAGGCUAUUAUUCUCACUCCUAACUCAACAUCAUCUUUAUCACAUGUCCCAGGAUUUGUGAUACAGCCUUCGUGUGCUGCAAGGGAUAGCAAAAUGAAGAGAAUUGGAGGAUCUGAGAAAUAUUUUUUAGUCUCAUGUCACUUUAGGGGCUUGAUCAACUUCGGAUUUGGACGAAUUCAUAACCAGUUAAUGUCUGCUCCGGUUUUUGAUUUGAAUGGGAAAGUUAUUGGGCUACUGACUUCUCAGUGUGGCAUGUAUAAGAACAAAGUUGAUGUCAAGAUUGGACUUUUAGCCACCCAUGCUCGGAAGAUUAUUGAUGACCUACUCAAGGAAAGCGAGAAACAGAAAGAACUAGCUAGGCGCUCUGAGGAAAGCAAGAAGCAUGAAAAAGGAGCUGAGACUAAGAGCUCUGCAGGUAAAAGCAAGAAAAGGAGACUCAUGAAGGGAGGAAAGUCGGUAUUCUGA